GACGAACGCUGGCGGCGUGGAUAAGACAUGCAAGUCGAACGGGAUUACUUUGGUAGCAAUACCGAAAGUAAUUCAGUGGCGAACGGGUGCGUAACACGUGGGCAAUCUGCCGAAAAGUGGGGAUAGCUCGCCGAAAGGCGAAUUAAUACCGCAUGUGGUGAGGGACGACAUCUUCCUGAAUCCAAAGCCGGGGCAACCUGGCGCUUUUUGAGGAGCCCGCGGCCUAUCAGCUUGUUGGCGGGGUAACGGCCACCAAGGCUAUGACGGUAGCUGGUCUGAGAGGACGACCAGUCACACUGGAACUGAGACACGGUCCAGACACCUACGGGU
This 330-nucleotide ribosomal RNA is filed under the name uncultured bacterium. RNAcentral describes it as "bacterial SSU rRNA". It matches the Rfam family "Bacterial small subunit ribosomal RNA", at positions 28 to 346 of the family's 1533-position model. The record is from RNAcentral.